RNAcentral lists this ribosomal RNA (632 nucleotides) under Serratia liquefaciens. RNAcentral's name for it is "bacterial SSU rRNA". It matches the Rfam family "Bacterial small subunit ribosomal RNA", at positions 899 to 1533 of the family's 1533-position model. The record is from RNAcentral. Lineage: Bacteria; Pseudomonadati; Pseudomonadota; Gammaproteobacteria; Enterobacterales; Yersiniaceae.
ACUCAAAGGAAUUGACGGGGGCCCGCACAAGCGGUGGAGCAUGUGGUUUAAUUCGAUGCAACGCGAAGAACCUUACCUACUCUUGACAUCCAGAGAAUUCGCUAGAGAUAGCUUAGUGCCUUCGGGAACUCUGAGACAGGUGCUGCAUGGCUGUCGUCAGCUCGUGUUGUGAAAUGUUGGGUUAAGUCCCGCAACGAGCGCAACCCUUAUCCUUUGUUGCCAGCRCGUAAUGGYGGGAACUCAAAGGAGACUGCCGGUGAUAAACCGGAGGAAGGUGGGGAUGACGUCAAGUCAUCAUGGCCCUUACGAGUAGGGCUACACACGUGCUACAAUGGCGUAUACAAAGAGAAGCGAACUCGCGAGAGCAAGCGGACCUCAUAAAGUACGUCGUAGUCCGGAUCGGAGUCUGCAACUCGACUCCGUGAAGUCGGAAUCGCUAGUAAUCGUAGAUCAGAAUGCUACGGUGAAUACGUUCCCGGGCCUUGUACACACCGCCCGUCACACCAUGGGAGUGGGUUGCAAAAGAAGUAGGUAGCUUAACCUUCGGGAGGGCGCUUACCACUUUGUGAUUCAUGACUGGGGUGAAGUCGUAACAAGGUAACCGUAGGGGAACCUGCGGCUGGAUCMACCUC